AUAACGAACGAGACCUUAGCCCUUAAAUAGAGUUGCUGGCAUUUGCUGGUAAAUCUUCUUAUGGGGACUAUCGAUUUCAAGUCGAUGGAAGUUUGAGGCAAUAACAGGUCUGUGAUGCCCUUAGACGUUCUGGGCCGCACGCGCGCUACACUGACGGAGCCAGCGAGCUUUUCCUUAGCCGAGAGGUUUGGGUAAUCUUGUGAAACUCCGUCGUGCUGGGGAUAGAGCAUUGUAAUUAUUGCUCUUCAACGAGGAAUUCCUAGUAAGCGCAAGUCAUCAGCUUGCGUUGAUUACGUCCCUGCCCUUUGUACACACCGCCCGUCGCUAGUACCGAUUGAAUGGCUUAGUGAGGCUUCAGGAUUUGCUUAGAUCGAGGGGCAACUCUCUUUCAGAGCGGAGAAUCUAGUCAAACUUGGUCAUUUAGAGGAACUAAAAGUCGUAACAAGGUUUCCGUAGGUGAACCUGCGGAAGGAUCAUUA
Hanseniaspora uvarum DSM 2768 is the source of this 479-nucleotide non-coding RNA. NCBI's taxonomy places the organism in Eukaryota, Fungi, Ascomycota, Saccharomycetes, Saccharomycodales, Saccharomycodaceae. The record is from Rfam.